GAUGUUGUGGCUCAGUGGUAGAGCACUUGCCUAGCAUAUGUUAGGCUGAGUUCGAUCCUCAGCAUCA
Molecule: transfer RNA, 67 nt
Filed under: Ictidomys tridecemlineatus (thirteen-lined ground squirrel)
Lineage: Eukaryota; Metazoa; Chordata; Mammalia; Rodentia; Sciuridae
Description: Spermophilus tridecemlineatus (thirteen-lined ground squirrel) tRNA
Rfam family: tRNA
About the family: Transfer RNA (tRNA) molecules are approximately 80 nucleotides in length. Their secondary structure includes four short double-helical elements and three loops (D, anti-codon, and T loops).
Source: Rfam by way of RNAcentral